Transfer RNA from Phormidium ambiguum, 71 nucleotides. It matches the Rfam family "tRNA". Rfam says of the family: Transfer RNA (tRNA) molecules are approximately 80 nucleotides in length. Lineage: Bacteria; Bacillati; Cyanobacteriota; Cyanophyceae; Oscillatoriales; Oscillatoriaceae. The record is from Rfam.
GGCGGCAUAGCCAAGUGGUAAGGCAGAGGUCUGCAAAACCUUCACCCCCAGUUCGAAUCUGGGUGCCGCCU